GACGAACGCUGGCGGCGUGCUUAACACAUGCAAGUCGAACGGAAAGUGCUCUUCGGAGUGACUCGAGUGGCGAACGGGUGAGUAACACGUGGGUGAUCUGCCCUGCACUUUGGGAUAAGCCUGGGAAACUGGGUCUAAUACCGAAUAGGACUCCGGAUCGCAUGGUCUGGGGUGGAAAGCUUUUGCGGUGUGGGAUGGGCCCGCGGCCUAUCAGCUUGUUGGUGGGGUGAUGGCCUGCCAAGGCGACGACGGGUAGCCGGCCUGAGAGGGUGUCCGGCCACACUGGGACUGGGAUACGGCCCAGACUCCUACGGGAGGCAGCAGUGGGGAAUAUUGCACAAUGGGCGCAAGCCUGAUGCAGCGACGCCGCGUGAGGGAUGACGGCCUUCGGGUUGUAAACCUCUUUCACCAGGGACGAAGCGUAAGUGACGGUACCUGGAGAAGAAGCACCGGCCAACUACGUGCCAGCCGCCGCCGUAA
Molecule: ribosomal RNA, 480 nt
Filed under: uncultured bacterium
Lineage: Bacteria
Description: partial 16S ribosomal RNA
Rfam family: Bacterial small subunit ribosomal RNA
Source: RNAcentral